RNAcentral lists this unclassified non-coding RNA (376 nucleotides) under Hevea brasiliensis (rubber tree). Lineage: Eukaryota; Viridiplantae; Streptophyta; Magnoliopsida; Malpighiales; Euphorbiaceae. The record is from RNAcentral.
AAAAGCAUUAUCCUUGAAAACUCCAGUAUCUUCGGAGUCCUUUAAACCAAAGCCGUCCGCAUUCUCCUCAGCAUCUUCAAGAUCCAUGUCAAAGACGCCUUUGUUAUGCUCUUCUUGUAGAAUGGCUUCCCAACUUAUGUUUACAUCAAGGUCAGUGAGCAGAUCUACCACCUUGGCCAGCAAUGCGCUACCAAUAGAUUCCCAGAUUUCAUCUCUCUUAAGUUGUAACAUGCACUCCACAAACAACAAAGUCACCUCUUUGGGGGCAUUAUGGUUUGGCAUUUUUUUGCCAAGAGCAUCCUUUAGCUUCAUAGGAGCAAGAGGCACCAAUUCGGCAAUAUCAUGCAAAGCUUGAAGCAGCUGACCUUGAACUUCG